UACAGAGGAGCCAAGCGUUGUCCGGAUUGACUGGGCGUAAAGCGCACGCAGGCGGUGGUGCGCGUGGGGUGUGAAAUCUGGCCGCUUAACGGCCAGGCGCCAUCCCAUACGGCACGACUGGAGGGCUGCAGAGGUCGAUGGAAUUGCCGGUGUAGUGGUGAAAUGCGUAGAGAUCGGCAGGAGCACCCAGGGGGAAACCAGUCGACUGGGCAGCACCUGACGCUGAGGUGCGAGAGCGUGGGGAGCGAACGGA
Molecule: ribosomal RNA, 253 nt
Filed under: uncultured bacterium
Lineage: Bacteria
Description: partial 16S ribosomal RNA
Rfam family: Bacterial small subunit ribosomal RNA
Source: RNAcentral